Molecule: ribosomal RNA, 219 nt
Filed under: Klebsiella pneumoniae
Lineage: Bacteria; Pseudomonadati; Pseudomonadota; Gammaproteobacteria; Enterobacterales; Enterobacteriaceae
Description: partial 23S ribosomal RNA
Rfam family: Bacterial large subunit ribosomal RNA
Source: RNAcentral
CGGUGAUCUAGCCAUGGGCAGGUUGAAGGUUGGGUAACACUAACUGGAGGACCGAACCGACUAAUGUUGAAAAAUUAGCGGAUGACUUGUGGCUGGGGGUGAAAGGCCAAUCAAACCGGGAGAUAGCUGGUUCUCCCCGAAAGCUAUUUAGGUAGCGCCUCGUGAAUUCAUCUUCGGGGGUAGAGCACUGUUUCGGCUAGGGGGUCAUCCCGACUUACC